Gambusia affinis (western mosquitofish) is the source of this 114-nucleotide small nuclear RNA. RefSeq annotates it as U5 spliceosomal RNA. The transcript has a single exon. The record is from RefSeq and is a predicted model, not a curated record. NCBI's taxonomy places the organism in Eukaryota, Metazoa, Chordata, Actinopteri, Cyprinodontiformes, Poeciliidae.
GCACUCUUGUUUCUCUUCAGAUCGUAUAAAUCUUUCGCCUUUUACUAAAGAUUUCCGUGGAGAGAAACAACAAGAGUUUAUUGUAAUUUUUUGUGCCCUGCUGUUCAGUAGGGU